This 546-nucleotide ribosomal RNA is filed under the name uncultured Cryptophyta. Its description in RNAcentral is "SSU rRNA". It matches the Rfam family "Eukaryotic small subunit ribosomal RNA", at positions 597 to 1154 of the family's 1831-position model. Lineage: Eukaryota; Cryptophyceae. The record is from RNAcentral.
GCGUAUAUUAAAGUUGUUGCAGUUAAAAAGCUCGUAGUCGGAUGUCGGGCUCGGGCAAGCUGUCGGCCUUUGGUCGGACGGCAGGCUCGGGUCUUUCUGCCUGAGGAACCCGGUUGCUUUAACGAGCUGCCGGUGGACGCAGGUCGUUUACUUUGAAAAAAUUAGAGUGUUCAAAGCAGGCUAGCGCUUGAAUACAUUAGCAUGGAAUAAUGGAAUAGGACUUUGGUGCUAUUUUGUUGGUUUAUGGGACCGAAGUAAUGAUUAACAGGGACAGUUGGGGCCGUUUAUAUUUCGUUGUCAGAGGUGAAAUUCUUGGAUUUACGAAAGAUAAACUUCUGCGAAAGCAUUCGGCAAGGAUGUUUUCAUUGAUCAAGAACGAAAGUUAGGGGAUCGAAGACGAUCAGAUACCGUCGUAGUCUUAACCAUAAACUAUGCCGACUAGGGAUCAGUGGAUGUCAAUUUGCGACUCCAUUGGCACCUUGUGAGAAAUCAAAGUUUUUGGGUUCCGGGGGGAGUAUGGUCGCAAGGCUGAAACUUAAAGGAAUU